UAGCUGUAAACGAUACUCGCUAGGUGUCGGCCACGGUGCGACCGUUGUCGGUGCCGUAGGGAAGCCGUGAAGCGAGCCACCUGGGAAGUACGGCCGCAAGGCUGAAACUUAAAGGAAUUGGCGGGGGAGCACAACAACGGGUGGAGCUUGCGGUUUAAUUUGGAUUCAACGCCGGAAAUCUUACCGGGACCGACAGCAACAUGAAGGCCAAGCUGAAGACUUUGUCCGGAUUAGCUGAGAGGUGGUGCAUGGCGUAGUCGUGU
Molecule: ribosomal RNA, 263 nt
Filed under: uncultured archaeon
Lineage: Archaea
Description: partial 16S ribosomal RNA
Rfam family: Archaeal small subunit ribosomal RNA
Source: RNAcentral